This 1024-nucleotide long non-coding RNA is filed under the name Macaca mulatta (Rhesus monkey). RNAcentral's name for it is "lncRNA (ENSMMUG00000062219.1)". The record is from RNAcentral. Lineage: Eukaryota; Metazoa; Chordata; Mammalia; Primates; Cercopithecidae.
UUGAAAAAGCAUUCUUACAGCAACCUACUUUUCUUUCUUUUCUAAGAGACUUCAUCUAUUUGCUUGGAAGCCAGAGAAUUAUUUUUGUCUUUGAGACUCCAUUGUUUUACUACGAUAUGAAUCAGCAAUGAACUUCUGGAUCAUUAUCAGACACACUUGGUGAUCGACCACAUGCCAUGUGAUGUUUUUCUCAGCCAUGGGAAGGGGCAACUCUCAUGUGUAACUUUUGCUGACCCUUUAAGAAAACCCAUUCCACAAAGUGGUCUCCUUGGAACCUAUCCUUACUGGAACCGUGUGUCAUCUGAAAUGGCCGUGCUUGCCUGACAGCAUCCAAGUGAUGGAUACAGUCCAGGCCUUGAAGAGAGAUGACACAAAGCAGUCCGCAGCUGACAACAGACAAGUAGCAAGAGUAAUCUUAAAGUUUAUGAGGAAGAAUAAAAUUUCAAAAAUAAAGCAUAAGUGUGAAAAAGAAGAAUGAGGUGAGACCCGACUUAUCAGAUAACUGAAGAUAAUCUAAAGCCCUUAAACUCAAGUAAUGAUAUUUGGCAUUGAUAAGCAAACAGAAUAGCACCUCCAGAAAUAUAUGGACACUCAAUAUGGUCAUGUGUCAUUUAACGAUGGGGAUAUAUUCUGAGAAACAUCUCAUUAGGUGAUUGCAUCAUUGUGUGAACAUCAUGAAGUAGACAUACACAAACCUAGAAUGGUAUAUAGCCUAUUAUACAUCCUGGCUACUGGUAUGGCCUAUUGCUCUUAGGCUACAAACCUGUAGAGUAUGUUACUAUACUCAAUACUAUAGGCAAUUGUAACAUAAGGUAAGUAUUUGUGUGUAUCUAAACAUAGAAAAAGUGCAGUAAAAAUAUAUUACGAAAGAUUGAAAAUAGUACACCUUUAUAAGGCACUUACCAUGAAUGGGGUUUGUAGGACUGGAAAUUGCUCUGGGUGAGUUAGUUGAGUGGUGAGUGACUGUGAAGACCUAGAACAUUACUAUACACUACUGCAGACUUUAUAAAACACUACACUUAGG